UACGUAGGGUGCAAGCGUUGUCCGGAAUUAUUGGGCGUAAAGAGCUCGUAGGUGGUUUGUCGCGUCGGCUGUGAAAACUCGGGGCUCAACCCCGAGCCUGCAGUCGAUACGGGCAAACUAGAGUGCGGUAGGGGAGACUGGAAUUCCUGGUGUAGCGGUGAAAUGCGCAGAUAUCAGGAGGAACACCGGCGGCGAAGGCGGGUCUCUGGGCCGUAACUGACACUGAGGAGCGAAAGCGUGGGGAGCGAACAGG
Molecule: ribosomal RNA, 253 nt
Filed under: uncultured bacterium
Lineage: Bacteria
Description: partial 16S ribosomal RNA
Rfam family: Bacterial small subunit ribosomal RNA
Source: RNAcentral